GAUGAACGCUGGCGGCGUGCCUAAUACAUGCAAGUAGAACGCUGAAGGAAGGAGCUUGCUCUUUCCGGAUGAGUUGCGAACGGGUGUGUAACGCGUAGGUAACCUGCCUGGUAGCGGGGGAUAACUAUUGGAAACGAUAGCUAAUACCGCAUAACAGUAGAUGUUGCAUGAUAUCUACUUAAAAGGUGCAAUUGCACCACUACCAGGUGGACCUGCGUUGUAUUAGCUAGUUGGUGAGGUAACGGCUCACCAAGGCGACGAUACAUAGCCGACCUGAGAGGGUGAUCGGCCACACUGGGACUGAGACACGGCCCAGACUCCUACGGGAGGCAGCAGUAGGGAAUCUUCGGCAAUGGACGGAAGUCUGACCGAGCAACGCCGCGUGAGUGAAGAAGGUUUUCGGAUCGUAAAGCUCUGUUGUAAGAGAAGAACGAGUGUGAGAGUGGAAAGUUCACACUGUGACGGUAUCUUACCAGAAAGGGACGGCUAACUACGUG
Molecule: ribosomal RNA, 497 nt
Filed under: uncultured bacterium
Lineage: Bacteria
Description: partial 16S ribosomal RNA
Rfam family: Bacterial small subunit ribosomal RNA
Source: RNAcentral